AGCCUGAUGAUGUAGUAGAGAGGAAGGGGUGAAGAAAUGAGUAUUUAUGGAAGCCUAGCAUGUGUGAUUGAAGCAGACCAAAAGGCAGCCAACCACUAUAAUUAAUUCGAAGAUUUUGAGGAUUGUGUGGACGCGACCUUUGGAAGCCCUGUCUAUUACAUCAGUCACUUGGCAGGGCACAACUAUUCGUUUCGAUGGAAGCGCCCAAGGGGCAAGAUCUCGAGGACGUUUCUCUUCGUUUACUCUGAGAAACGCGGGGACUAUCUGUAUACGGCUAAAAUCGGGAAGACCAAUUUUACGGUCGGCAAGGCAUUGCACAAUCUCACCUCGAAGGUUCUAGAGGAUAGCCCGGGGUUCGAUGCCUUCGAGAGGUCUUCGCGCCUGAUAUCGGGGUAGAACAGACCGGUGCUUAUCGCGAAUAAGUGGGAUGUUCCCUAGGAGCUGUAUUUUCUGACAACGCCUGCGCAAACAAUGACAGCCUACACCAGGCUGAUUGAGUGGUUGUACCAGCUACUUUAUGUAAUAAAUACAUGUGUGUUGUGUUGGAACUUUCCCCCUCAUAUUCUCUUGAUCUCAUUACUUCCAUUUAGUGCUUAUAUUUAUUGUGUUCUAUUUAUUGUUCUUCAUUUAUUGCUUAUUAUUGGUCAUAAAGAGCCGUCAUUGAAUUUAUCAUAACUGUUAGUCCUACAUCGACUACUCUCGGCAGGGCAUCCGACUCGACCUCGAGGCCCCGAAUACGCAAGCUCGAGGCCUCGAUUAUUAGCCAUUCAGUUUGGUUAUCACAUUGUUUUCAAGCUAUUAUCUUGUUUUCAAGUCUUUCACUUAACAUCAAUUGCCUAACAACUAGCAUAAAAAUAGAUCACAUAUUUUUAGAACCACA
This 880-nucleotide long non-coding RNA is filed under the name Nicotiana tabacum (common tobacco). RNAcentral's name for it is "long non-coding RNA (NTAB_LNC012135)". Lineage: Eukaryota; Viridiplantae; Streptophyta; Magnoliopsida; Solanales; Solanaceae. The record is from RNAcentral.